GUGUUGGAAAAAAGCAGUACUGGUUGUCCGACAGUAACUCCCAUUACAUUUGAUGAUGUUGACGCGGCGGAAGCAGGUCCAUCAAAAGAAGUCUGGAGCAGCAGAAGUUGGACUUCAGUAACACAACAGGCAAAAAAAAAAAUGGGGUAGCAAUGAAAGCAAGGUCUGAUGUCCAGGGCCAACCACAGCAGGCUACCCCGCCACGAAGAUUAUCGACAGUAUGUUCGGGCCCCACACUCCAAAUUUUGGACACACCUCCAAGACGUGACCCACACUCCCCUCAGCUUGAUUUCCUGGUAACAGCAUCCCUCCGCAACAUCAGCAAACAAGCAGCAGUUCUGGUACGACUACUCCAAAUAUCACGCCAAUGUCAUCACCACCAAGACGCUCCACCAGAGCACGCCAACAUGACAGUGGUAAAGGCAAAGGGCAGGACAAGCAGCCAACCAAAAUCAAUUAACAUUGAAAACUCACAUUUUUUAUUUCAGAGAAGUAAAUAAAAAUACUUUGUAAGUGUAUGUUUGUUAAAAAAGAUAUAACACUUAGCUCCUUGACAAUUUGAACAACAUCAUUAAUUAGAAGUGGUACAAACAGCAACAGGAAAUUCGUAUGCACAUUUAUUCUGUACCAUUUUUGCAAUUUUUUGGAGGAGGGAAAUGUUUGUGAUACACAUAGAUGUUAGCAGGAAGUAACCAGACCACUUGAUUUUUUUUCUAAUCAUUACUCUUUCUAGAUUCCAAUCAAUCUCAGAUCCUGCACACACAAUAAUUGGCAGCCAGCAAGAAUGUCUUUAGCAGGAACUAACCAGACCACUUGAUUUUUUCUAAUCAUUACUCUUUCUAGAUUCCAAUCAAUCUCAGAUCCUGCACACACAAUAAUUGGCAGCCAGCAAGAAUGUCUUUAGCAGAAACUAACCAGACCACUUGAUUUUUUUCUAAUCAUUACUCUUUCUAGAUUCCAAUCAAUCUCAGAUCCUGCACACACAAUAAUCGGCAGCCAGGCAUAAUCAUCCAUGACCAAUGCAACUUACAAUGUGAAUUAAAACUGGUUUACAUUUCUUCUGUAGACGACUUUACAAGAAAAACACAAUAGAGUUGUGUAAAAGUGUCCUAAUAUGUUUGUGUACAUUUAUAAUUUUUCAUAACCAAAAUGAAUGACAUUAUUGUUGUGGCAUGUUUGUGUGUGUAAAAAAUGAGUAAUCAUAUUUAAAAACCUGAGGCACAACCCACAAAAUAAAAAAGAUUUUAACUUUUAACACUAAUGUGUGUAAUAAUGGAUAUAUGUUGAAAAAUGUGUAUUGACUUUUAAAAGUC
Long non-coding RNA from Pseudophryne corroboree (corroboree frog), 1313 nucleotides. RefSeq lists it as uncharacterized. NCBI's taxonomy places the organism in Eukaryota, Metazoa, Chordata, Amphibia, Anura, Myobatrachidae. The transcript is spliced from 3 exons. The record is from RefSeq and is a predicted model, not a curated record.